AUUGAACGCUGGCGGCAGGCCUAACACAUGCAAGUCGAGCGGCAGAACGGAACUAGCUCCUGGUUUCAGCGGCGGACGGGUGAGUGGUGCAUAAGAAUCUGGCAGUUAGUGUUUUAUAGGGUGCUAACACGGGGAAAAUUACCCCAUACCUCCUGAGGGCGAAAGGGGGAAAGCAUGGGACCUCCCGCCCUCAGAUGAGCCUAUGUCGGAUUGGCUAGUUGGCGGGUUAAAGGCCCACCAAGGCGACGAUCCGUAGCUGGUCUGAGAGGAUGAUCAGCCACACUGGAACUGAGACACGGUCCAGACUCCUACGGGAGGCAGCAGUGGGGAAUAUUGGACAAUGGGCGCAAGCCUGAUCCAGCCAUACCGCGUGGGUGAAGAAGGCCUUCGGGUUGUAAAGCCCUUUUGUUGGGAAAGAAAAGCAGCAGGUUAAUACCCCGCUGUUCUGACGGUACCCAAAGAAUAAGCACCGGCUAACUUCGUG
RNAcentral lists this ribosomal RNA (484 nucleotides) under uncultured bacterium. Its description in RNAcentral is "partial 16S ribosomal RNA". It matches the Rfam family "Bacterial small subunit ribosomal RNA", at positions 30 to 507 of the family's 1533-position model. The record is from RNAcentral.